UCUCAUAACUGGUCCCUUUUUCUUUAGUCUUUACGUGUACUGUUAUGGAAUUUUUAUUUUUUUGUUUUUGUUUUGUUAUUUUUGCCUUUUGUUUCUCUACUCCUAAAAAAAUAUAGCCUGAAACUUCAGCAUCCCCGCACUGUGUACACAUUGGCUCACUUGUAAGCCUUGCAUUCAAGGUCCUCUACAAUAUAUACUUAAUCUGCAUUUGCAGCUUUUCUUAUUACAACUUUUUCAUGAGCCAACCCCUUCAGCCAACCUUUUUGUUUUCAAAUUGAGUAUUGACCACUUUUA
Molecule: long non-coding RNA, 294 nt
Filed under: Homo sapiens (human)
Lineage: Eukaryota; Metazoa; Chordata; Mammalia; Primates; Hominidae
Description: non-protein coding lnc-ZEB2-10:1
Source: RNAcentral